Molecule: ribosomal RNA, 460 nt
Filed under: uncultured bacterium
Lineage: Bacteria
Description: partial 16S ribosomal RNA
Rfam family: Bacterial small subunit ribosomal RNA
Source: RNAcentral
CCUACGGGCGGCAGCAGUGAGGAAUAUUGGUCAAUGGACGAGAGUCUGAACCAGCCAAGUAGCGUGAAGGAUGACUGCCCUAUGGGUUGUAAACUUCUUUUAUAUGGGAAUAAAACGUUCCACGUGUGGGAUUUUGUAUGUACCAUAUGAAUAAGGAUCGGCUAACUCCGUGCCAGCAGCCGCGGUAAUACGGAGGAUCCGAGCGUUAUCCGGAUUUAUUGGGUGUAAAGGGAGCGUAGGUGGAUUGUUAAGUCAGUUGUGAAAGUUUGCGGCUCAACCGUAAAAUUGCAGUUGAAACUGGCAGUCUUGAGUACAGUAGAGGUGGGCGGAAUUCGUGGUGUAGCGGUGAAAUGCUUAGAUAUCACGAAGAACUCCGAUUGCGAAGGCAGUUCACUGGACUGCAACUGACACUGAGGCUCGAAAGUGUGGGUAUCAAACAGGAUUAGAUACCCCGGUAGUC